RNAcentral lists this unclassified non-coding RNA (256 nucleotides) under Microcera larvarum. RNAcentral's name for it is "partial contains 5.8S ribosomal RNA, internal transcribed spacer 2, and large subunit ribosomal RNA". Lineage: Eukaryota; Fungi; Ascomycota; Sordariomycetes; Hypocreales; Nectriaceae. The record is from RNAcentral.
CGCACAUUGCGCCCGCCAGUAUUCUGGCGGGCAUGCCUGUUCGAGCGUCAUUUCAACCCUCAAGCCCCCGGGCUUGGUGUUGGGGCUCGGCCCGUCCUCUGUGGCGCGCCGUCCCCGAAAUCUAGUGGCGGUCUCGCGAUAGCCUCCUCUGCGUAGUAGCAAUAUCUCGCACUGGGACUGAGCAAGGCCACGCCGUUAAACCCCCCACUUCUGAAAGGUUGACCUCGGAUCAGGUAGGAAUACCCGCUGAACUUAA